Molecule: long non-coding RNA, 38539 nt
Filed under: Ananas comosus (pineapple)
Lineage: Eukaryota; Viridiplantae; Streptophyta; Magnoliopsida; Poales; Bromeliaceae
Description: long non-coding RNA (ACOM_LNC006717)
Rfam family: tRNA (bases 25337-25408)
Source: RNAcentral
AGUCGCAAAGGAUUUUAUUAUUGGUAGCAGAGAUCUUAAGUUCGAAUCCUAAUUGGUGCACAUUUCUAGCUAAGUUUAUUUCUAAAUAAAAUAAACGAAACAAGUAGCAUGCUACCUAUCUCUCUCUCUCUCUAAAAAAAAAAAAAAAAGUGGAGAAAAGUGAAGUUGUUUGCGACUGUAAAAUAUUAUUUUCGCUGUUUGAUUUGCAUUAAUAAAACACAGUCGAAACUUGAGUUAUCUCAAAUAGCGUAAUUUGUCUUCGAUCCACUUUGGAUCGAAGUCAAUUAUGGUAAAACGAGGUGAAGAAAAAAAAUUAAUAAAAUAAUACUGUGGAUAAUGCUAGCUAUAUUUAAAUAUAUUUGAUUGUGGUACUGAUUACUUUUUUGUUUAGUUUAUAUAUUUAAAAUGUGAUGAAAAUUGAUUAAUUGAGUAUUAAUAUUUCUUUUACUCUAUGAUUUUAUUGUUGUAAUAUUAUAAUUUAUGUAUAAAAAAUUAAUUUAGUUAUUUUAGGUUAUAUUUUUAAUUAAUAGGGAUACAAUUAAUUUAUUUUUUUAUAUUAUAAUUUAUUAUUUAUCAAGUUAUAUAUAUAUAUAUAUAUAUAUAGAGAGAGAGAGAGAGAGAGAGAGAGAGAGAGUCUGGCUACUAUACUCUUAUGAGUACGAUCGCCCUCGUACUAAUAAGUUGUUUUCGAUGAUAGAACUUUCGAAACGACGAUCCACACCGUUAAACGUUAUCUAGAGCAUUUAAAACUACUAGAAAUUAAAUUUUAUAAUUUUUCGACAUUAUUUACCUUACGAUCAAAAGCUCACAAAAUUGACAAUUUUUAACGAUCGGUAUGGGAUACUUGCUAGUUUAACGGUGGAAAAGAAUCGGAAUAGGUUGAAUUUUUGAUAGAAAAUUCUAUUAACUACCUAGAUAAAGAUCAAUAACUCCGAUCUUAAAUUAAAGGAUCCGAUCAUCCAUUUUUAGGACGUCGUUCGAUUUUGACCAUUCAUUUUAUGCCCGCUUGAUGGACUUUAUUAUGAUUUCAAAAAAUUACGAAAUUUAUUUUUAGAAGUUUCAAAUACUCUAGAUCAUAUUUAACGGAGUGGAUCGUCGAUUCGGAAGCUCCAUCACCGAAAAUAACUUAUGAGUACUAAGGGCCCACUACUCAUAAUAGUAUAGUAGCCCUUUUCUCUCUCUCUCUCUCUCUCUCUCUCUCUCUCUCUAUAUAUAUAUAUCUAAAUAAAGAGCUAGCAGAGAAGGAGAUUUUUUUCACAUAAAUUAUAUUUUAAUGCAAAAUCCACUUCAAUCAAAAUUAAGUUCACUUUCAGUGAAACAAACAGGCCCUAAAAAGCUUUGAAAGGUACGUUGGUGGUCUAGAAUCGAUUUUCCGACUGCUAACAUCUAUUUUUGAUCACCGACUGUCCCUAGCGCGAGUAGCAAAGGGCAUGGUGGUUGGUACCUGAGGUCCCGCGUUCAAAUCCUAGUUGAUUCACAUUUUCAGCUAAGUUUAUUUUUAAAUGAAAUAAACGAAACGAAUAGUAUGCUACCUAUCUCUCAAAAAAAAAAAAAUUUGUUUUUGAUCUCAUUAAAGUUUUAUAUUAAGAAUCACCUAAUGCUAUCGGAUAAAAAAGAAGCUGAGAUAAAAAUUAGUAUAAUAUUACCGACUGUCCCUAGAGCAAGUGGCAAAGAGUUUGGUAGUUAAUAUCCGAAAUCCAAGUUCGAAUCCUAGUUGAUUCACAUUUCUAGCUAAAUUUAUUUCUAAAUGAAAUAAACGAAACGGGUAGGAUGCUACCUAUCUCUCAAAAAAAAAAAAGUAUAGUAUUACUUACAAAAUAAAAUGGAGUAUUUUUUUAGUAUUAUUAUACUUUGGCACCACACCCAAUUCAAUCUAACCGCCUAAUGCUAUUUGAUGAAAAAAAAAAGCUGAGGCGAAAAUAUACAAAUUAAGAUAUAUUUCUCUAUAUUUUGGUUGGAUUGUAUACAAUAUAUGUUAACCAACACAUUAAUAUAUGAACACCAUACUAUUUUAUUACUUCUUAUGAAAUCAAAUAAAACAUAUUUUUAUCAUAUAUACNCCAUACCGGCCGUUAAAAAUUGUCAAAUUUGUGAACUCUUGAUCGUAAGGUAAAUGAUGUCAAAAAAUUAUAAAAUUUGAUUUCUAGAAGUUUUAAAUGCUGUAAAUAAUAUUUAACGGUGCGGAUCGUCGAUUUAGAAGCUCUAUCAUCGAAAACAACUUAUGAGUAGUAGGGCGAUCGUACUCAUAAUAGUAUAGUAGCCGGACCCUAUAUAUAUAUAUAUAUAUAUAUAUAUAUAUAUUAUAGCGCGAGUAGCAAAGGGCAUGGUGGUUGGUACCUGAGGUCCCGCGUUCAAAUAUUUUCAGCUAAGUUUAUUUUUAAAUGAAAUAAACGAAACGAAUAGUAUGCUACCUAUCUCUCAAAAAAAAAAAUAUGUUUUUGAUCUCAUUAAAGUUUUAUAUUAAGAAUCACCUAAUGCUAUCAGAUAAAAAAGAAGCUGAGAUAAAAAUUAGUAUAAUAUUACCGACUGUCCCUAGAGCAAGUGGCAAAGAGCUUGGUAGUUAAUACCCGAGACCCAAGUUCGAAUCCUAGUUGAUUCACAUUUCUAGCUAAAUUUAUUUCUAAAUGAAAUAAACGAAGCGGGUAGGAUGCUACCUAUCGCUCAAAAAAAAAAAAAAAGUAUAGUAUUACUUACAAAAUAAAAUGGAGUAUUUUUUUAGUAUUAUUAUACUUUGGCACCACACCCAAUUCAAUCUAACCGCCUAAUGCUAUUUGAUGAAAAAAAAGCUGAGGCGAAAAUAUACAAAUUAAGAUAUAUUUCUCUAUAUUUUGGUUGGAUUGUAUACAAUAUAUGUUAACCAACACAUUAAUAUAUGAACACCAUACUAUUUUAUUACUUCUUAUGAAAUCAAAUAAAACAUAUUUUUAUCAUAUAUACUUCUAAUUAUUACAUCCACAAAUGAUAGAUACCAUAGAUACUUUUUACUUAUCUAUAUAUAUAUAUAUAUAGUCUAUUAAAUUUAUUAAACUUCGACGAAGUUAAUAAAUAAUGAUACGAUUUAAGAAAUUUGAUACCUUAACAUCUUCAUUUGCUACAUUAUUAAUAAGGACAUACAAAUCAACCAAAAAUAAAUAAAUAAAUAAAUCAAGUACCUAACUUUAACGUAUCUUCUACUAUCAAAAAAAAUCCUUCUAAUUUUGUUUUAUUUAAUUCAGUGUAGGGUACUAUAUAUUUAUUAUUAUUAUUAUUAUUUUAUAUUUUAUUAAAAUUCAAGUGACGUUUCAUGGGCUAAUGCUGUAGGUGAAAAAUCUGAAACGUCAAAUCGAGUUCUUUUGUUUCUUUCUUGCUUUCUUUUUCAUUUUUUUAAGGAUGCGGACCCACGAACUUAUCAUGGCAUGCAUUGGAGAUAUCAUUGAUAUGACCAAUUGAUAUGACCAAUGCCUGGGGUGUUACAUCUGUCGAUAGAGAUGCAAACAGGUCGGAUUUAGAUUUUGAGUGUAGAGGACUCCUCCUACUGCGUACCUUUCAUUUUAUCUUUUUAGCAUAUCGGAACGGAUUCGAAAUAUGGCCAAAACGGAUUUUUUAUAGACUUUUGACGGAUUGGUUGCAGAAUAAAGAAGGAAAUGGCUCCUCAAUCACGUCCUGCUCUAUUUUCUUCGCGAAUCGAGACGGAUUAUUCUUUUUCUUACUUUUGCCCUAUAUUUACCGUUUCACUUUGGAACUAAUUCAGCAGAAGCUCAAUCACUCUGGAUCCAUUUGCAUCCCUACUCGUCGUAUCCUUUUUUUCUUUCAACUAAAAACUUGAAAGAGUUUUUUGCGCCCUAGAAUACGUAGGAUGCGAGACAAAGUUAGGGUUCCAUUUUGGAAGAGAGGGAAGGGGCAAAAAUAUGUAAUAUAUUUUAUUUUAAAAAAAUAUUAUAAUGUACAUUAUUAUAAAAGUUCAAUGUGUAAAAAUAUAAAAGAAAAUUCAAAAAAGUUUACGUACUGGCUCAAAAGUUAAAAUUGUGCUCGGCUUUUCUUCAAGUCGUAAAAUCAGCUGGCCUCCUCGGCGCAACUUUUUACAAAGAAAAAAAAAAAUACAUUUUAGCCUGUAGAAGUUAUUAUAUUUAAUUUUUUACUACAGCUUAAUUAGGAAUUUUUAUAUAAUAAUUUUUAAAAAGUUAAGGACCACAAUAGGCCAAGGCUAUUGUGAGCCUCUUGAUACCUCACUACUAGUAGCAUUUUUUUUUCCAUUUAAACUGGUGUAACUUUUCAACUACUUUGAUAAUUGUUUUUUUAAUCUUUACUUAAUUAUAUAGAUUACUCAUUGAGCAAAUUUUUUAAUCUUUUUUUCUCCUAUUUUAUGAAAAGCUAGUAUUUUUCUUUUCUGAAUAUUUUAUCAAAAAAAAAAAAAACAAAAUCCAUGAAAAGUAAUGUUAUCUAUGGAAUUUUUUUUUUUCGAAAAAUAGUAUUCUACACUUUUCUGAGGAACUAAACACCCCCUAAAUCCAAAAUCUAAAUAUUAUGAUUAACGAUACCUAGUUGACUGUAUGUAGUACAGUUGGCUAAGGGUUUGAUGUUUAGUACUUAAGUUCCUAACUUCGUAUUUCUAACUAAAUUUAUUUCUAAGAAACGAAAAAAAGCGGAUAAUAUGCUUUUUUUUCUCUCUCACAAAAAAAAAUUAAGGAUAUCUACUAACUGAUUUAUCGGAUAGUUAGAUGAAUUAAAGCCCAUAGAGUUAGACUUGGGCCCAGGUAAAAUGUAGGCCUUAUUUAUUAUAAAUGGGCCGAAUGGGGCCCGGCCCAUAUUCUGCUUUUCUCCUCUGUGCGAAUGUCCGCACAAUGAGAACCCAACGAGGGCGCACGCAACGUGUUCGAGAGAUUGCCUCAGAGAGAGAGAGAGAGAGAACCCCAGCAACCAUGUCGUGGGAUCAUCGUCGCAAGCUCCUCCUCCUCCUCUCCCUCCCCCUCUCCUCCUCCUCCUCCUCCUCCUCCGCCGCCGCCGCCGCGCGCCGCCACCACCGCCACCUCCUUCGCCCAAUCCCACCAUCUUGGGUUUCCCCGCCCCAUUCCUCUCCCUUCCUCCACGAGUCUAGGGUUUCGGGGAGGUUCUCCUUCUCCUCUUCCGCGGCGGAUUCCGUUGGAGCAGGAGGAGGAAGGAGGUUGUCGAAGUGUUGGAAUUGUGGGACCGCAUCGGGCUCUCCCGCCCCCUUCCUUGCGUGCGGAACCUGCGGAAGCGUGCAACCCGUGGACGCGUCCGUGGAUUAUUUCCAGAUAUUCGGACUGUGAGUUUCUUGUUGGAGAACAGGUUUUAGGGUUCUUGAUUGAUUUGAUUAGUCAAUUUUUAUUGCAAUUUGUAGUACGAAUAAUCUGUUUCUCUAAUUACAAUUACUGGAAGGGAAAGAAAAUUUUCAAUUUUGAUGGAUAUUAAGACUAUUUUGCUAUUAAUUUUGUAUUAAUCUUGAUGGAAAUAUAAAAGGCAAAUAUGUUUUGUCUAAUCUUGUCGCGGGAAAAUGGAUUUUAUAUAAAGUUUUGAUCAUGAUGCUACAGUUUGUGGUCUUUUUUUUGGGUUUUGAAGGUGAGUUCAUUUCAUGUCCAUAAUUUACGGUAUAAUAAUACAUUUUCUCACUUCAUUUUUUAGUAGCGGUCUAAGAAAUUCUGUAAUAUGAUAGAAACUGCAAAAAGAGUUUACGACAAUAAGAUGCAUAUGUAGCUAAUUUAUUUAAAUUGGUUGUGGGUUGUUCUUAUAAUUUCUAUUAGAUUGCUAUCCCAAUUGCAUCUGCGAAAAAGCAUUAAGACAAGUGUAUGUUAUGGAGCAUAAAUUAAGGAACCUUUGAUUCUUUGAAUUGCUGAUUUCUUGUUUUUGUGUGUUUCAUGGCGUAUCAGACGACGACCAUUGCACCAGUUAGUGAUUGCUUUCAUAUCUAUUUGUGUAUGUUGUAAAUUAGUGAUUGCUCAUCUGAAAUUUCUUGAUACUUUGCACAUUGUAAUGUUAUGGUUGUAUUCCAUUGUGUUUCACAGGAAAAGGGCAUAUGAAGUAAAGGGCGAUAACUUAGAAGGCAAAUACAAGGAUUGGCAGAAGAAGCUACAUCCUGAUUUAGUUCAUACUAAAUCUGAGGUUGUGGCAUUAAUCAACUUCAGAAACAAAUUGACCAUUUUUCUGCUAAAUUAACAUCAGUUUUGAGCUAACCUUUUAUGUUGUCCGCUUAUCUUGCACAUAGGAUGAAAAAGCUUUUGCUGCUGAGCAGUCGGCCCGAGUAAUUGAUGCAUAUCGAACUCUCAUCAAUCCUUUGUCAAGGGCAUUAUACUUGGUGAGUUUGCCACUGCCUCUUUUUGGGAAUCUUGCCUUUAGGAUUUGGCAAUUUUAGUGCCCCCUUUUUUUUUCCGUCCGCUACUUUGGGACAAAUUUUAUGAGAUUCCCUGGUCUAUCUGUGUGUCAAAUAGAUAUCGAGAUCUCAGCCGCCGAAAGAUGUUAUUGAUCAAAGCUGCAAACAUAAACUUAGUUGACCAAAUUGUAAAAUAGAAAAAGAAAGAUGGAUUGCUUAUGUGUGGUGGCCUUAUAAUUUUCAUAAUAACCUCCGACUCAUGAAUGUCAAAAAAGUAUGUUAAAACUUCAGAAAGUUUACCAUUAGCUACUGGGUUAUACGUUGGACCUCAAUGAAUGCGAGUGAGAAAUUAAGAUGUUUCUUUCAAUGGGUAAGCCUAAUUCAAUCAAAUAUUAUGCCAUGAUCCGACACUCCUUAAUCAAAUUAGUUGAUGGUCAUCUUAACAGAUCGGCUAAACUACCUGUUUGUCCUUCGUCUGGUGCCUUUGGAAGUUGCAAGGUCUUGUACUGAUUCUGGAAAAUAUCUUUUCAUAGUUGAAUUUAUGAGAAAAGACUAUAGUUUGAUCAAUAUAUAUAUGAUGGUCAGAUAAUAGAAGGGUUUUCCCCCCCACUUCUAAAGCUAUUGCAUGCAUUUGUUCUCUACAGUUACGACUUGAGGGUGUACAAGUUGAUGAAGAGAAAACAAUCUCAGAUCCUGAACUUCUUGUUGAGGUAAAUUUAUUGUAGAUGCGUUUUCCUGUCCACCUAUUUCUUGGCAGCAAAUGUUUACUUUGGAUCGUCGAUAUAGUUUUGUUUUUAAUUUGCUAUAAAUACGUAGGAAAAUGAAUUUUAAGCCUUUCUUGUGCAGAAGACAACUUACUCUUAGCCAUUUGACUUGCCAGACUCCUUUAGAGAAGUGUUGUUUGAACAAUACUGACCUUAUUGGAUGCCCAAAUAAGUUAUUCGAUGAUAACUUUAUCGGUAUAAAAACUUUUUUGUGUGAUUGGAAGGUAGGAGUUUGAUUUUUGGUCCUUAAAAGGUCUGGGCAUUAAUAAUUUCGUAGGAUAGCAUAUUUAAUCUACAAGGUUAUUUAACUUAUUCUAAAAAAUAACUUGAAGGCGAAAUAUACUAUUCCAUUUCAGACACUUGAUCUCUCCUACCUUUCAAUUACAAUAUAAAAUCCAAAUACUGAAUUGGAUAUUACUAGGUAACUUAUUCCGGCUUCCAAAUAAGGCCUUAAUCAAUUCUCAAUCUUCUUAGCACCUAAUAUAUUUUAGUAAAAUCCCCGCAACAGCUUCGAACAUGUCCCUAAAAGCAAAAGUUUAAAAUUAGAUCUUCUGUUUGGGGCAUGCAAGCUCCUUUCUGUUUCCCGCCAAAGUUAGAAGCUGUAGGCCUUUUGUUUGCACAACACCUUAGUAUUUCUCGAGUAGAAAAAUUGCCUUUGGUAUUUCUCGAGGAGAAAAGUUGCCCUUAAAAGACGAUAGAUUAGCACUUAUUAUUCUCACUAAUUUAAUUCAAAUGUUCUUUGCAGAUGAUGGAGAUUCGCGAAGCCGUUGAUGAGGCCGAUGACUCUCAAGCCCUAGAGCGGAUAAAAUCUCAGGUUCUGCAAGAAACUACUUAAUCACUUAAAAAGUAUAUGAUUAUUCUUGAUUUUUCUCCUCAUUCCCCCUCAUUUUAACUAAUUUAGGUCCAAGGAAAGCUUGAAACCUGGUCAAAUUCGUUCAAGCAAGCAUUCGAAAAGCAGGACUUAGACACUGCAGUAGCCUCCACGCAGCGAAUGCGAUAUUACGAGCGUGCGAUGGAAGAGAUCGUCAAGAAACUUUAAUUGCGUUACUCACUAAAGCACUGAAACCCGACUGCGCAACUGAGUUCACAGAGCUCGAAAUCGCUCCCCUGUUGUUGAGUUGUUGGCGUUACAGCUGCCGGCUUUUCUGGUUAUCCCGGCAAUGAGAGCUAAAGAAUAUUCUUUGUAAUUUCAUUCAUAAGUUGGAGCAUAUCUUAUGAAUGAAUUCCAUCUUUGUAAUGUAUACGCGAUGCGCUUACAUAACAAAGCACAUGUUAAAGAGCAAGUUGUGAUCUUAUAUUCGUUUCUUUGAUAUAUUAGAGCGUUUGUAAUAAGUAUACAAGAUUUUGUUGAUCCCAGCUAACUAGGUUCUCAAGCAUGAGCAAUGUCAAUGUUGUAGUUCUAGGCAUAAUUAAACUUUACUGAACUCUUUGUGGUGUUUUCAAUGUCUAUAGUUAUACAUAUGCACUUACAUUGAAUUUCAAUUUUGUUCAGUUAUUCGUGCUGUGUGGUAACGAAUGAUAGAUGAAGUUAGGUAUGGUUUAAAAUUAAGUUUAAUUUCUAUUUUAGCGUUGAAAUUUGGAAAAACUUCAACGGUCAAUUACCACUUGUUAAAAUACAAUAUAUCUCUUAAAAAGAACGUUAUAAUUUCGACAGUCCCAACACAAAACCACAAAAUUAGAAAUUCUGUAUGCAUGGACCCCCCCUUUUUUGGUUAGACAAUGUGUGGUUGGGAAACAAGGAUCGGUUUUUUAGCAAGGUACGGAAUGUAUUCAAAUAGGUAUUUCCUAAAUCAAACGAAUUUUAUUCCUUCAACCAUUCCAUUUCGACAAAAGACCAUACCCAAGUUCAAUAGCUUUGCGUCCGCUAUCCCGACACAAAACCACAAAAUGGAGAAAAAAGAGAGCUCAAACUCAUUUAUGAAACGAUAAAAUGAUAAACUUAUUAUAAAAGAGAUCUAAGUAUGAAAUUUGAAGUUCAAACUCUAAGAAGAAUAAAAUCUUGCAAAACUAGUACUCAUUAAGGCAAUCUUCCAAUACUAGGAACGAGUGCACCACAACAUAAACAAAACAAUAAUUCGAAAACAAUAAUUAGCACAUAAGAAACAACAAAAGCCCACCAAGUUUCACGCGAUGCAGUAGAUAAAUAUGUCAUAUUGUUUAACUACUUAACCUAUGUUCUCAAAAGAGAAAUUUAUAGAUAUAAUUUAGAAAAAACUUCAAAAAUCCCCCCUAUGCUAUGGCGUAGCUGCACUUUACUAUUCCGUGAAUCAAAGUGCGGCGCACUUUGCUAUCUUGUGAUUUUUGGUUUUUACUUUCCGUAGCAACAACAAUACGCGGUUAAAUAGGAUAGCACAUAGUAGUUAGAGAGUAGAUUACAACCACAAUGUCAUUUGCAAUAUAUAAGACUUUGCAAUCUGAUUAGCAGCAGGUCUUUAUUGAAAACAAAAAUAAAAACCGCGAGACAACAAAGUUUUAUACUUCGAACCAUAGUAAACUGCUAAAGCACCAUACUACAGGGGGGUUAUUUGAAGUUAUCCCUGUAUCUUAUACGCCGAGUUCUGCAGAUAGAUUUUUACAAAGCUUGAAAGAAGCAAGUAAAGAUAUAGAAGAGAAGUUCUAUUCACUUCUUUUCCGUAGGUAGGCCGACGAAGAAUUUGCGGAUCAACCUCUCAUAAUCCUGAAUUGAAAGCAGACCUCUUUAGACCCGACCUGAAAAAGUGCAAGGAAAUCAGUCUUUUCUUUUCCCUCAUUCUGAUGAAACCAAUUCACAAAAGUAAACAAAUAUUCUCCACAUCAUUUAGCCCGUUGAUACAAUUACAAGGACGGAAGGAGCAGAAAAACGCAAAGCCAGAAGAGCAUUCAGUCAGACGCAGAUCCAGAAGUUCUAUCGACAGGCAUAAUAUGUACUGAAGAAAUGUCCACAUCUUGAGCAAGGAAAAUGUGAAAUUUUGAAGGAAAUGCAAUACAAAAAACACUAUUUUCACUUAAUGCAAACAAUUUACCAAUUCCGUCUAUGUUUCUCCAGCAUGAAAUCUCCCUCGUUGAAAAUUGGAAAGAAAACUAAAACAAGAUAACAAAUACAAAUGUCUGUCGCAGAAUGAGCAGUUCGCGGAAAGGAGAGGGAACAGAAUAGUAAAUGAGAGCAAACAAGUGAUAUAUCCAGUUAGUGUUCUAUGAUAAUAUGGGAAAACUGUAACUCUGGUAUCAAAUCAGCUAGAAUCAAAUUCUAAGCGGGCCAAACCGCUGAAUUUGGUCUAAGGGCUUAAUUGUGAAACUAAUAAUUUUUUAGUUCAAAUUUCAUAUUUGACGAUCAAGAUGCCGUUUACCUGCAACAUAUAUCGUAGUUCUGAUAUUUGAAAGUGGAUGAACCUUAAGAAUCAGUACCAAGCACUUGCGGAGCCCGUUACCUUAUGAAGAAUAGUUUAUUUUGGACCAGAAGCCGAUGAAGUAGAGUCACUUAGAAGAGCAGUUGUGGGACCUGACGACAGUGUGAUCCUCUCUCUAGUUGUCUCUGUAGCCAAAGGAUCUUGAAUGUUUGACAGACCAGAAUUCAUUGAAGGCCCAGUACCAUCCCUAGUUUCGAGACGCUCCAUCAUACGCGACACGGUAGCGAUUCCCGCAUUAAUCUCUCUCUUGACUUCAGAACCCAGAUCCGAUAUAGCACUGUUUCGGGAGAACAGCUUCUCUUUCCACCCUCUCGUACUUUUUGUUAUCGAUUCUUUAUAUCUAUUUUGCCAUUACAGAAGAAACUCACAGUUAAAUACGUGUUUUGACUCUAAUGCACCUUCAAUUUAUCUGAAUUUUCUUUCAUGCCUUUUAAAAACUAAAUUCUCUAUAUAUAUACUCUUGUAUGUAAAAGCUUCACCCCAUGGAUUGGAUGAAUUCCCCUAUUUAAGCAGGGAAUAUUUGCAAGAAGCUACAAUUUCGAGAGGCAAAUGAAAAUUCACAUUUCACAAAGAUGAAUAUGUAAUUAGAAUUGUAGAGGCAUAUUAAAAUUCACAUUUCACAAAGAUGAAUACGUAAUUAGAUGGACUAGCAGGGGCAUAUAAGGAAAGGAACCCUUGUUUUGGCAAAAGUUCAGACAUUUAAAACCAUAAAACUUAAAGGUACCUCAUUGAGACUGCAUUAAGGCGAGACUUGAAAGAGUCUGAGAAGGACUGGAAAUCAGAUGGUCCAGCUCUAUCUUGGCUUCCAGGCGUAGGUUGACCAGAUGAGUUCCUGAUUUCAAGAAGGGCAUUAAUAUGAUAGAACAUAAAGACGUACAGGGUAAAGUGGCGUAGAGAUGCACUUAAUUCUAGGCCAAUCUGAACCCUCCCAUCCUCCUUUCCUCUUCUUUCUUUCCUUUUUUAUUUUGGUUGAUUUACAACCACCCAACUUUUGUUUGUUUCAUUUGACUUGCUUCCAUCGAUCAAAACAAGCGCUUAAUUAUAAACAACGGCUCUAUUCAGUUCCAACCAUUAACAGUUUAAAAGAAGACAUUCCAGUAAAACGAAAAGCGAGUAGAGCAAUUUUAUUCGUCAUAAUUUCUGUUAAAAUUUAAUGAAAUCUCCAAUCUAACGGACAGAAAUUGCUCAAAUUAAAACAAACAAUACUUAAGGAGGUUUAAUUUAAAAAAUUUAAGGGGUUUGGGGUUUCCAUUCCAAGAUGGCCUAUGUAUGUUGAGAGGGAAAAACUAUAAUCAGACCAUGACAAUUACCGGUUAUUAGAUAGACCAGGACUAUUAGCAAAGUUUGUGCCAGAAGCGAUAGGAGCUGAAGGAUUAAGAGAAUUUAUAGCUGGGACUGACUCAUCUUCCCCUCUAUUAGCAGAUAACGGAGACGAAGAUACGGCAGGAGGAGCACUCUGACGCCUUGAGUACACCAUAUGUUGAGUACGGCCAUGAUCUGCCGGUCUACCACGAUUUCCUUCUCUUCUAUGAAUACGAUAGGUUCUACCCAUCGCGGCAGCAGCCGCCAAGUGCUGUAUAAUGCGCUCUUCCAGAUCUGCAUCUUCAGCUCCUACAGGAAGCUGGAAAAAAUAAAGGAACUGUUAAACUGUGAAGAGUCCAAUCAAAUACAUGUUUGACAGACGGACAAAAUUUCAAAAUAAGUAUCUGGGACCAGAACAGAAGUGCCGGUUGGGAGCCUCCCAUUCUGCUGCAAGGAGAAGCAGUUGGGGAGAUUUUAGCACAGAAAUUCUCCUAAUAGCGACAAAUGAGCAUCCCAAUAGUUUUCCACUGAAGAAGCAGAAGCUCCCUGAUUGUUAAACUUUUUGUCUUUAAUCUCCUUUCAACUUCCUACCACAGCAACAACUGCCAUUUUUUUCUUUGUUUUUUUUUUUUUGGGUGCAGUGCAAACAUCAGGCUGCCUUUUGGAAGUGGAGAAGCUGCUCCGGAAGGUAGGCUAAAGAGGAAUAGAAACUAUUUGACAAGGAGAAGCCAUUAAUAUAUGAACAAAUAUGGCUGCAUGGUUAGAACUAUACGUGCUGCACUUCAAAAUCGCCAAGCAUUGGUUGCGGAAGACUGGUAGCACUGCGUGGUCGGUUAACCCGGGAGUUCCUCUCUUUUUCUACGGCCUCCAGUAGUUCUUGGCUAAACAACAAUGAAGCGAAGUAAGUUCUGAGAGAGAGAGAGAGAGAGAGAGAGAGAUUUAUGCUAGUAAACCUGGUAGGAUCCUUCAAGCUGAUGGGCUGCCAACACAUGGGGCAUUGGGAGCUCCUCUGGCACCUUGAGACAAAAAAUUAAUUAGAAUGCUUGAAAUCUAAAUGAUGAAAAAGCAUCCAAGUUACCUAAUGGAAAACAUCUUAGUAGUAUCGAAAAGCUAAUGAAAAAAAAAUGUAGGCGUGUAAUAUAUCAAAAUAAAGGAUAAACGCUACGAUUUGAAGUGUCACCUAUUCACUGCAAAACCGUUUAGCUGAUCAUCCAACAAAUAUGAAUAAAUGAAGCAAGUAUUCAACCAAAAUAACUCUCGUAUCAAAGUUCAAGUGUUUUCUCAAUGAAUUCUACCAAGAACAAAGAACAAAGAAUAAAAGACAUUCCCAACUCCUCGGAAAACAAACUAUAGCAUUAAUUGGAACCAUUUGGAGCAUAUACCAAUUGGUAGUUGUAGAAGACUACUACAAGAUUCAAGAAACCUCAGAAGGUACUCAGCAAGUUUGGAUUCUCUCUUAUGAAUCAUCCUAUUUUAACUGCUUGUAAAAUGACAAAAUACUCAAAAUAAAACCUAAAAAGCAGAGACUGAGGACAUUCAUAUGUAAGGAAACCAAGAUAACAUCAUGAUUUACAAGUAGAAAAAAGCACAAAAUCUAGUAGCCAAAGUCCUCAAAACUAACCACUGUAGAUGUGACAACUAUUUCGGUAACCAGAUCACGAAAGAUACAGCAAAUGAAGAACAAUGGGAAAAACAAGGAGCAUUAAACCUAUGAGAAGAGACGCAGCAUCUAAAAUCUAAAUUAAAGUAAUCGAAAUAAUAAAUCAAAAUACAGAACAUAAGGUAGAGAAUUACCAUUCAAGAAUGCAUUGCAGAUGAAACUCAUGCCUGCAACCAGUCACCUGAACAAUCAUCACAACGAGUCGACAACACAUGCUAAGAACAAUUUAACCAACCACUACAAACAAAUCGAAACUCUAAAAAUAUCAAUAUAAAUCACACUACUAUGAAUCAAAAGAGAACAUAUAUAUUUCCAUACCGUAGAGGGAUCGCUGUCGCAGAACGCUUCGAGGCAUAUGCUGCAUGAAUCAUCACAAGCAUCCUGAAUCCCCCCUUCAACGAACGCCGCAGCCGAUGUCGCGUGGCCGUCCAUCUACACCCAAAAAAUUGAUCUCAACAAAUUCUUAAUUCGACUAAACAAUUAAAGAAAACAAUCUAAAUUCGACGUCUCCGCAAAAACCUAACAACAUUCAUCAAUAAAUCGACAUCCUCCGAUCAAUUUCCAUCAAAAAGGAUACUUCUUUUCAGCGGAAUUGCAUAAAGAUUUCAUCUUUUUUAGUAAUUAAACACGAACCCGAAUAUUCCAAACGUGCCGACCAAUCCUCACAUGAAAACACACGGAAAUUCCCAAAUUUCAAGGAGCAAACAAGCGAAUCGCGAUGCAGAUAAGAAAGGAAGCGAUCGUGAUCAACAAAGGCAAAUCAAUCAAAGUAAAGAAUCGGAAAAAGAGCGGGUGAAAGAGGGAGGAAUCGGAGCGCGUACCACCGCGGAGACGAUGCGUUGGGCUAGGGUUUGUGGGAAUUGGGGGUCUCCGAGUCGAUUUAGAGGUCGAAAUCGUUGAGGCGAGAUGCGACAAGUAGGGUGAAGGGAAAGCGAAGAGAGAGAGAGAAAGAGAGAGAGAGAGAGUGGCGUUGCGAUGCGUUUAUCUCGCUCCUCUUUCUCUCUCUCUCUCUCUCUUCGUUUUCUCUCUCUACGUAUUAAUUAAUUUAAUAUAUUCGGCGUGUACGUACAUAUCAUAGCGGUUGGAUGGGUUACACGUGGCGUUAUUUUGUCGAUGAUUUUGGUCGAUGAUUACGUCAUCUAAUCCAAUGCGAAAGACCAUAGCUAAUUUAUUUCUUUAUUUAUCCCGUGUCGUGACUCAUUUAUGAAAAUAUAUAAAAUAUAUUGCCUGCACCCAGUGUAUCCGUACGCGGUAUACACCGCAUAAACUUUUAACCAUUUAAAUAAAUGUCUUAAAAUCCAAAAUCAAAUCCCACAAUUUUUUUUUUUAAAAAAAAUAGAAGGUAUAAAAUUUUAAUAUUAACGCAUUGAGCAGCCUCAAUUAUCUACAGUAGAUAAAAUUCUUUUAUUUAAUUUAUGAGAAAUUAGUUUCUGAAAUUUAUAUUAUUUUAUAUGUAAGGUUUUUUUUUUUGGUGUUCAAAUAUAUAUUUAUUGAGCAAGCUGUGUAUAGAUUUUGAAACCGCCUCGAGAAAAUCUUAAAAAUAAGUGCGGUGUAGAAGAUAUAGUUAUACACUCGGAGCAGAGAAUUUUUAAAAAUUAUGGGUAAAAGUGUACGCAUAGACCCUGCUUUAUUACAUUACCAGCAUUGCUACUCGUACGUUACUAGACUAGUAUUUUACAUUUUAAUAUUGUGAUCAUAAUAUUUAGAGCUUUCCUUGCAUUUGCAUUUGGUCCCUCAAAAAUUUAUUUUUAUAAAAAGCUCCAUCAAAUUUAUAAUUAUAAUUUUGGUCCUAUCCCUAUCACGCAGAUGCUACGUAAGCGCCAAACAAACAAGAGGAGGUGUUAAAAUAAGUUGAACACAGUAAUCCAUUUAUCGUGUCUAAACACAAUGAAUGAUUCACUGUGUUUGAAAAAAAAUAUAAAUAUUUGUAUUGCGAAAAAAUAUAAGUAUUGAAAAGAGAGAAUAGAGAAAAUAUAAGUACAAAACACAAUGAAUGAUUCACUGGGUCUAGAAAAAAUAUAUGUAUUGCGAAAAAAUAUUAGCAAAAAAAAAUAAGAAUAUAAGUAUGGAACACGGUGAACCAUUCAUCGUAUUUAACUUAAGGUGUUGAUAUGGCGCAUGCGUGGCGGGGCUAGAACCGAAUUUAUAAUUAUAAAUUUGAUGAGAUUAUUUAUAAAAAAAAAAUUAAGGAGACCUAAUGCAAAAAAGUGCUCUAAUAUUUAAAUUUUAUAGAGCAAUACUACAUGUGUAUUCUGAAGGCCAGUAAAUCUUACAACCUUUUUAUCUAAAAAUUAAUUUUCCUUUCUUAUCUUGCUAGUCUUUCUAAAAAUUAUAUAUUAAAAAAUUAGAAAAAUUUACAAAUCUUAAAAUGAGGAUUGUAUGACAUACAUGUAUUUAUUAAAAUAAACAAUCAGCUUAAAUUUUACUAGUGAAAUACCCGCGCGAUACUACAGAUUUAAAAAAAAAUUUAAUAAAUUUUAGUUUUUUAUAUUUUUAAAUAAUUUUAUAAGUCUAAUUAUUAAUUAAAUAAAAAUUAUAUAAAAAUAAUUUAAUAGUUAAUUUUAUUUAAAUAAAAUUUAUUAAAACGACAACUUAUUUUAUAAAGAUUUAUGCGAAAAAAGAUUUGNNNNNNNNNNNNNNNNNNNNNNNNNNNNNNNNNNNNNNNNNNNNNNNNNNNNNNNNNNNNNNNNNNNNNNNNNNNNNNNNNNNNNNNNNNNNNNNNNNNNNNNNNNNNNNNNNNNNNNNNNNNNNNNNNNNNNNNNNNNNNNNNNNNNNNNNNNNNNNNNNNNNNNNNNNNNNNNNNNNNNNNNNNNNNNNNNNNNNNNNNNNNNNNNNNNNNNNNNNNNNNNNNNNNNNNNNNNNNNNNNNNNNNNNNNNNNNNNNNNNNNNNNNNNNNNNNNNNNNNNNNNNNNNNNNNNNNNNNNNNNNNNNNNNNNNNNNNNNNNNNNNNNNNNNNNNNNNNNNNNNNNNNNNNNNNNNNNNNNNNNNNNNNNNNNNNNNNNNNNNNNNNNNNNNNNNNNNNNNNNNNNNNNNNNNNNNNNNNNNNNNNNNNNNNNNNNNNNNNNNNNNNNNNNNNNNNNNNNNNNNNNNNNNNNNNNNNNNNNNNNNNNNNNNNNNNNNNNNNNNNNNNNNNNNNNNNNNNNNNNNNNNNNNNNNNNNNNNNNNNNNNNNNNNNNNNNNNNNNNNNNNNNNNNNNNNNNNNNNNNNNNNNNNNNNNNNNNNNNNNNNNNNNNNNNNNNNNNNNNNNNNNNNNNNNNNNNNNNNNNNNNNNNNNNNNNNNNNNNNNNNNNNNNNNNNNNNNNNNNNNNNNNNNNNNNNNNNNNNNNNNNNNNNNNNNNNNNNNNNNNNNNNNNNNNNNNNNNNNNNNNNNNNNNNNNNNNNNNNNNNNNNNNNNNNNNNNNNNNNNNNNNNNNNNNNNNNNNNNNNNNNNNNNNNNNNNNNNNNNNNNNNNNNNNNNNNNNNNNNNNNNNNNNNNNNNNNNNNNNNNNNNNNNNNNNNNNNNNNNNNNNNNNNNNNNNNNNNNNNNNNNNNNNNNNNNNNNNNNNNNNNNNNNNNNNNNNNNNNNNNNNNNNNNNNNNNNNNNNNNNNNNNNNNNNNNNNNNNNNNNNNNNNNNNNNNNNNNNNNNNNNNNNNNNNNNNNNNNNNNNNNNNNNNNNNNNNNNNNNNNNNNNNNNNNNNNNNNNNNNNNNNNNNNNNNNNNNNNNNNNNNNNNNNNNNNNNNNNNNNNNNNNNNNNNNNNNNNNNNNNNNNNNNNNNNNNNNNNNNNNNNNNNNNNNNNNNNNNNNNNNNNNNNNNNNNNNNNNNNNNNNNNNNNNNNNNNNNNNNNNNNNNNNNNNNNNNNNNNNNNNNNNNNNNNNNNNNNNNNNNNNNNNNNNNNNNNNNNNNNNNNNNNNNNNNNNNNNNNNNNNNNNCCUUCCUUUAUGAGAAUGAUAAUGAUUUUUCUUAUCCCUUAUAUAAGCUAUUUUUCCAUUGCUUUAUGCUAUAAGUCAUUUUGAGUGUGUUAUUAAAUUUUUCAAAAUUUUAAUUUUAUUAUUUAGUAUUUUAAUUUAUUUGAUUUGAAUCAGUCAACGAUAUUUUAAUUUUAAAAUUUGAAUAUACCAUUUAUUUUUGUAAGUGUAGUUUAUAGAUUUCACACAGUUGUUGUAGCUAUAUAUUCAUUAAAUUAAACAAUUAGCUUAAAUUUCAAAGUCAAAAUACCGUUAAUUGAUUCAAAUCAAAUAAAUUAUAAAAUUAUGAUAAAUUAUCAUGCAAAAAAAAUUUAUUUAGAGGGCAAUAUUUGGCCCAAUAUUCAAUCAUCAUGCAAAAAAAAAAAAAAACUGAAAUAGAGAUUUUAUUUGAUACUGCACUCAACCAUCAUCCACAAGAAAGACCUGGCUCUAAAGGCAUUGUUUAUACCAGGAUUUAUUUAUAUAAUAAUUAAAAAUUAUAAAAAUUUAAUUUUUGCUUUCAAAAUCUUAUUUGAAUGUAUGAAUAUUUUAUUUAGUAUAUUUUUUAAAAUUAUUUAAAUAUUAGAAUAAGCUGAAUUUCAGUGAUAUUAUGUUCAAAAUAAAUUUUUUUUAUUAUAAUUAAAAAUUAAAAGUGCAAUCAAAUGUUUAAAGUAAAUAACAUAUUCAAAUUUUUUUUUUGAAUGAGAUAAAUCAUCUCAGAUACUAUCCUAAUAAAUUAUAAAUAUCAAGAUAUUUUAAACAGUAAAAAAAUCAAACUUCUAUAUUCUAAAUAAACAAGAAAAGUAUGGAAAAAAAUUUGAGAAACAAAUUUUUCAUGAAAAAUCCCUUACUUAAUUUUCCGCCUCUUUGAUUCCAAAAAANUUAUACAAAGGGAAGGCUCCUAAAGUCCAAACAGAAGCGCAAGUGAGGAGGAGAGAAGCAGCUUUGGCUUUUAAGCGAUGGAUUGGUUUGACAUGAAAGCAUAUUGACUAUCCUUUAAAUAUUGAAGAUUGGGAAAAAUACAAACUCGGGUUUUUGAUGGUAUGAAGAAUCAGGGUCUUCCCUGGAACUUGUGGUCUAAUGUAUGCAUCUGGGGGUGAAAGUGGUUCCCUGUAUAUUCCAGAUUUUUGUAUCUGAAUUUUAAGAAAUUCAGGUCUGGGUUUUGUAUAUUCUGAGACGAAAGAUUAUGUAUCCUUAAUUAUGAAUGUAUUAUCCAGAUAUAGUUGCGUUUUGAAAUUUGAAGUACUAACUGGGAUUUAGAUCCUUACAUCACGUGUAAACUAGAUAUCUUGAUGAGAAUACAAUAGCUUAGUAAGAGCUAUAUUUUUGUUUUUCUUUUUCUCUGUGCACGUUUUAUUUAUGAAUAUUAUGCUGUAUAACCUUUGAUAUGUAAUAUCUAUAACCCUAAUGAAAGUCCGUGUUAUUUUGUCCACAUGACAGUAUUAGCUUAAUUAACCUUUGUGGGCCCUAUCUGUCAUCCUAAGACACUUUACUAAUUAAUUCAUCCCCAAACAAAUAUCUUUUCCUACUCUGCUUCCCAUUUCCAUUUAAUUUUCCCUUCGCCCUUCGAUCCCUCUCCCACUACCCGCCUCUUCGAUCCCUUCCCCACUCCCCGCCGCUUCGGUCCCUCCCCUACUCCCGCCGCUUCGAUCGCUCCCCGCCUCUCGCCGCUUCGAUCUCUACCCCGCCUCCGCUUCGAUCCCUCCUCCGUCUUUCUGCUUGGGGUCGAGCCCCCAUCGGCGCAUGGCCGCGACGAAGUCCUUGGUCUUGGGGCCGCCGGCGAACUGGUCCUCGAAAUCCUCCACGACGAGGGCGUCGGCGGCGGCGCUGGCGAGGGCGGUGGAGAUUGCGAGGCGCUUCUCCUUACGGUUGAUCUUGACGAACCAGUCGUGGGGCUUGGGGCCGAAGACGACGCCACCGCCGGGCCGGAGCGGGGUGCGCUGGGAGCCGAGGCGAGCGCGCCCCGUCUUCUUUUGGGGCUAGGGCUUCCUGCCGCCGCCGCGCACCUCGACGCGGGUCAGGGUAGAGGCAGUGCGGCGCCGCCUGUUCUGGCGGUUGGUGACGAGGGCCCAGUGGACGACAGCGCGGGCGGUGUCGGGAGGCGCCGACCGCAGCUCGAGCGCUGCCUUGCCCACCUUCUCUCCCGAGAAGGAGAGCACCGGGAGGGUCGCGAGCUCCGAGCGGACGACGCGGAGCGCGGCUCCCUUGCAGGGGGUCAUAGGGGAUUUGCGCUGGGUGCGGAGCGGAGAGGCGAGGAGGAAGAGGGAGGUGGAGGAGCGCCACCGCAACGACGACGACGACGACGACGACAAGGAGAGAGAAGGAGAUGCCGCCGAGAUCGGCAUCGGAUAAGCGGAUCAGAAGCUCAUCAGGACGAGCCCUCGGAUCGAUUGGUUCGAUGUCGAGGCGCUCGAAGUCACGGGAGUGCAGAAGAAUGAGGACGAGGUACGAAUUGCUCCACGCCGUUAGCUUUGCUGAGAUCUACGGGCUCCUAAUUCCUCCGAUAUUUUUGUUUGCGAAUUAUUUGAUGAUUUUAUCCGAAUAUGGGAUUUGAAAGGUUAAAUUUGUGGGCGAUUUUGUUAAUUUUUACAGUAUAAGAGUAUAUAUCAUGAGCCCACUAUUUUUUUUUUCCAGCGUGGGCGAGCGCAGCGGGCGGGCGGCAGCAGCGGGCACGGGCGCUAUCCCUGCCUCCUUUCCCUGUCACCCCGCAGGGCGCGGAGGUCCUGCAGAUCCGCGGUGCGGGCGGGCCCGCCCACGCUGCCAUGUGCGUGCGACCCGCGCCCGGCGCCCGCUUGCGCCCCUCGCGCGCCGCCCCCUUCUAGAUCUGCAGCUCCUGCAGAUCUCUCUCUCCCCGAUCCCGUCUCUUAUGUCUCUCCGACCUCUUCCUGAUCUCGCUCGGAGAAGCUCGCAAGCCCCCGCGGCCUAAUAAGCGGAGUUCUGCAAAUAAGUAUUUGUUACUUCAAGUCAGGUAUUUAGAUCUGUGCUUUUAGAGAAAGAAGCAUAUAUGAUGCACAUUUUCCACUUAUUCUGUGUAUGCUGUGAUUUAAAUGAUAACCUCUCCCUAGCGCUCGCGCCCUGUUCGACGAAAUGCCAAAUGUGUGCUUUUAGAGAAAGAAGCAUAUAUGACGCACAUUUUUCAUUUAUUCUGUGUAUGUUGGGACUUAAAUGAUACCCUCUCCCUAGCGCUCGCACCCUGUUCGACGAAAUGCCAAGGUGAUAGCAGGACGCUUCAUGUGAGCAAUGCUAUAUUUGUAAUUUAUUUUGGAUUGUAGAUCUUACUGGUAGUUAUGUUAAUUUAAAUUUUUAAAAUCUGUUAGUCAGGGAUCACAAUUCUUGAAUCUUCCUACAACCUAGACAACGGCAGAAUCAGGUUAUAAUAAAAUCAAAACAAAGUCAUACAAAAUUAGAAUGCCAAAAAUCUACAUUAAAGUUUGCCAAGUUGCUUAAGGUAAAGUUUUAUCCUGCUCUAUUAAAAGAGAUGUUGGUGUUUCUUUUUUUUUAAUGCUUCAAUUCCUCCGUUAGAACCUCUUCUAUGAUGACUUUUCCUUUAAAUAUCAAACUUGGAUAAUUCAUAGUGUUAUAGUUUCUGUUUUUUUUACUUUUAUUUGGGUACUCCGGCUAAUGCUUCACCAAAACCGAAACAUGGAUAUGAUAAUAAUUAGUUUGAUGAGAGGAUACGAUAGUAUUUAAUCUUAUAUUUUGGUGACCCUAUGAGCAGUUCAGUCCCCUCUAAAGUGAAGUGGUUCUUAUACCCUACAAUUACAUCUUUUAAGCUUAAUUUGUAUUGAGCUAUGCUAAUAUUACAAUAUAAUGCUUUCUAACAGAUAUGUACUAAACUAUGUAGUUUUGUGUAACUAAUUAAUAUCAGUUAGACGAUUUUUUGUGCUUCCAUAAACAGUUCCUGUUUUAGACAGUGCGACAUGGCACCUUCUUGAUGAAAACGAACAACUUCUUAUCCAGAUCACAUCAAAUCUUGAAUUGUUCAAGGUGUGUAUUGAGAAAAUCACUCUCUACAGUCAAAAAGAUAAUGAAUAUCUUUCUCUCAGAUCUAUUUGUUGCUUUCCAUGAAAUUUUACACUGCUGUUACUGCAGAUACAGGAGAAUAUGGAUCCUUUUCUUCGCACAAGUAACAACAUCGCAACAAUUUUGAAUAGGUAUGUGCUACCAGUCAUAUCUUCCCAAUCUGUUAGUUGGCAAAAUAUUUGUGCCUGGAAAUGUGCGCGCAAGGGCGAGUAGUGAUUUGAUGAAUAUGGCAACUGUGUAAUGCAGAAUGAGUCAGACUCCUGGGAUUAUGUGUUGGAUGCCUCCUUUGCCCAUUUCACUUAAUGAGGAACAUCUAAAUUCACUUAUCCAAUUUAGCAGAAGGGUAAGACCUUCCCUCCUGUUUAAUUUGUACAAAUGAGAUAUUAUCUUAUCAUUGUCUGGUUUAAUCAGAUAUUUACAGUCGAACUAUUUUCUGAGCACGUAAUUUUUUAAAAAAUUUUAUGCUCCUUGGCUACCUGAACGCAAUUUCGUUGCUUAAACAAUCAAUCAAAUUACGUUUUGCUUUAGUAGGGAUUGUGCUUACUGUCGCUUACCAGUGAAUAACGUUCUCCUUCUAUGAAAAGGCUAUUAUUAUUAUUAUUGUUAUUGUUAUUCUUAUAUAUUUGAUACAAGUAUUUUUUAUAAUUUUUGCUUACUAAUGUUGUCUGCAUCUAUCUACUUUCUAUUAUUUAACAUAUGUUUCUGUUCAUUACCUAUCUUUGCUUUCAAAGCUUUUUAUCAAUAGUAUUUUGCAAUCUUCUUUUCUUUCCUUUUUUAUGAGUUAGAAUUUUUUUCUCCGCCACUUGCUCAUAGUUUGAAUAAUAAUAGAUAGUACAAAGCUUGCUUACUAUUUUCUGAUGUUUUGAUACUUUUUAAGAUUUGCCUUUUUCGUAUUCUAAUUUCUUAAAAAUUAGUGCAUGUGUGUUACACUUGAGAUUUCUUACAUGCUCUUCCUGCCACUUCUUGCUCCCAGUUAUUUCUAUGGACAAUUUUGCCACGGCAAGCUCUGCUGCGAAGCUUGGCCUUUUUGCCCCAGCAAUGGGCAUCCUUCUCCUUCAAAUCGCUCAAUUCCAUCGAAUGACUCUCAAAUCCCCAAUUUUCACUAAAAUUAAACCUAAUUUGCGUCAAUAUUUUAGGUUUAAUUUUGUUUGAUAAUUUAGUGCUCAGUUUAGGAUGGUGAGGUCUCUUUCGUGUAAUUUUGUCUUCCUAUUUGACGCAACCCUCGCCACGUAUGACAGUCCACUUUAUAAAAUACAUCGUCAUUUGCAGCACACCUAGGCCAACUUUGCGGCAACGAUCUUUUAUUACAAAGUAUGAGACAUAAUGGUUCAAAUUACCUAAUCUUUGCUUUGGUCAACUGUUAAAGCUUCUACAAAUUCAAGUUUUUUGCAGGAAUCUCAUUGCGCUUGCUAUACUCUAUUUUUGCAAGCAUGGAAGCAUUAAUUUUUGCUCAGCUUAGUGUCAAAACAGCCUUAUUGGCUUUUGCUAUGUAUCCCAUAUAGAAAAAUAUAGCUUCUCAUAAAGUUUUUAUAGUCCUAAUUUAUUUUACCAUCUAAUAUAAUUUGCUGUUGUCUUCAAUUAUAUGGUUUGUUUCGGAUACUACAUAUCUUAACUUUCGAGACUUUAUCUGACUCUCUUUUGUGCAAUUAUUUUUUUUGUUUUAAUAUGAUUGUCAUAAAUAACAUUUUAUAUGAAUUUGCAUUAUGAAUAUUACUAACAUUUUUAAAGUAAAUGUGUUCUACUUUCUACAAAAUAACUUAUAGAAUAAAUUUUAAAUGAUUAUAAUAUAUCUACCCGCCGCAUCGCGCGGGUCACUACACUAGUAACAAUAAUAAAGUGUAUAAAUACUGAAAAAGACCCCACAGGCCACAGCACACCACCCAUAUAAUAAAGAGCUCAUUCUUUGGUCCAACACUUAAUCAUUAAUAAAUCCGCAUGGAAAUAAAUCUCAGAGGCUUAUCAAGUUUGUGCAAAGAAAUCAAACGUUAUUAACUUUUUUGUAUCCGAAAUGUGAACAGAACAUGAUGACUUUGAAUUUUACAAAAAUAUUACCGAAUAAAAAAGUUACACAUUAAAAGUCAUUUUUAGAGGCGUGUAUUUAUAACAACUUAAAAGUUCUGAAAAAUCACUUCAUUCCGCCUUUAUUUUCUCUUGAAACAUACACAAAUUCUUUAAUCUUUUUCCGUUCUCGGUUGCAUAGUUUUGCAAGGAAUAAGACUUUUUUAAGAAUGAACCUUGAGAUCAAUCAUAAUUUAAGCAACCCACUGUGUCUCUGCAUUGAACUGAACUAUUCCUCUUCCACUUAUUUCCGCUGUACUUUCCUUCAUCAGUGAGAAGGAUCUUAUCCCUUAUUGUUAUUUUCUUUUUCUUUGUUGUUGUUUUUUUUUUUAAUAUCUAUUCGUCGCCUCACACAGAUUAUUAUACUAGUAAUUCAUUAAAAAGUAGAGCUUAAUUACACGUUUACCAUUUCAAGAAAACAAAACCAGAACCAAAAAAAACGAAAAAAAUAUAUCUAUAAAAAUCGACCCUCUAAGUCCGAACAUCAACUUAAAAAACAUAAAUACCGACCGUCUCUAGAGCAAGUGGCAAAGGGCUUGGUGGUUGGUAUCCAAGACCCAAGUUCGAAUCCUAGUUGAUUCACAUUUCCAGCUAAGUUUAUUUUUAAAUGAAAUAAACGAAGCGGAUAGCGUGCUAUCUAUCUCUCAAAAAAAAAAAAACUUAAAAAACAUAAAUCAAGCUUCUAAACUUGAAGUCUACGUUGAAAAUAAAAAACAAAUUAUGACAAAACAAAAAUAAAAAAAAAACAAUUAUCCAAAUCUCGAUCUCGAAUUGGCUUAAGACCUUGGACAGCAAAUAUAAAAUAAAAAUUUAUAAAACUUAUCUUCAAUUUUUUACAAUUUAUUCAAUCCAUAAAUAGAGAAGUAGGUUUUUUUUUUUUCUUGAAACUUCAUAAAAUUAUUUGCAAGACAUGCCACCAAAAAAACUAUUUUAGUUAGUAACUUCAUUUGAGGUGAAUGUCUAAUUAAAUUAUUUGGUAAAUAUUAAAUAUAAAAAUAUUUAAACACCGUUUUUUAACAGCUUAAGCUUUUAUAGUAUAAUGGUUGUUUCACAUGGUAUCAGAGCAGGAAUUCCUAAGUUCGAGUCACGGUAGGCUCUUAGCAUAUUAAUUUCCUCCCAUUUAAUUCAAGCCCACGUCAUGGGCUUAGAGUACAACGAUUGUUUCACUGUAAAGUCUAAAAAAAGAUUUACUUUGCAAAAUUUAAAAGUUUAAGCGGUGUGUUCGUGAAUUUAUCGCUUUUAUAGAAUUGUAGGUUAAAAAUAGGGUGAUUUAGGCAGCAACAUUUUAGAAAAAAUAAGCAUACAAAGAGAAGCAGUUCUGACUUGAAUUAAAUAGAAAAAAAUUAUAUAAACUCGCAAAUUAGGCGACUGAAUAAAAAGAAUAAAAGGUUGAGAGAGAUAAUAAACCAAUUAAUUUUGCUACUAUUUAAUGCAACUCUAUUGUAGCUUGGUUAGAUUAUGGUUGGAAAAAUUGGUUGGACACAACCUAAGCCACCAAUUUCACACAAGUUGGUCCGAAUCAGGUGCGAGUUCUAGGGGAUGAUGGUUCACCAAUUGCACGUGACUCAUCCGAAUCGGUUGAAUCAUUGAGUUAGUUUCAGUAUAGUUUCAAUCACUGAAGCUGUCGUUAUUUAGUUUCAAUUUAAAGUGUGUUACAUAAACAUGAUUCUGUGUAAAAAUUCGAAUAUCUAUCGAUCGAAAAGAGCCAAAUAAGGAAAGAGUUUUCAAUGUGUUUUAACGUAAAUUUGUAAGUUACUCAUUAAGAGAAACAACUAAUAAGGGAUAUCCAAAUUGAUGAACUUUGCCUCAACGGUCAAAUUAUUUUAAAUUCUCCUCAUCAUGAAUGUUGAACUAAAAAGAUUAUUAAAAUAUUAAAUAUAUAUUUAUAAAAUACUUAAAUAUAAACAACAACUGGGUCCAUAGCUCAGUGGUAGAGCAAUUGACUGCAGAUCAAUAGGUCACCGGUUCGAACCCGGUUGGGCCCUUAAAUUUGAGAAUUUUUUUUUAAAAAAAAUCUUAUUUUAAACUUUUGAAAUUUUGGUUGAAGCAUUAAUUGUUGCAUUGUAUACAUAUAUAUUUUUAAAAUUACAAUUUGUAUAUAUAAUCUGUUGCUCAUUUAUUUAUUAAAACAUUAAUUGAAAAUUAAUUAUUGUCUUUCCAACAACUGGAUUGAUUUUAAUAUUUUUUUAAAGUUGUGUUUUUUUUUAAAAAAAAAAAUCUUUAUUUUAAACUUUUGAAAUUUUGGUUGAAGCAUUAAUUGGUGCAGUGUAUACAUAUAUAUUUUAAAAUUACAAUUUGACAAUCUGUUGCUCAUUUAUUUAUUAAAACAUUAAUUGAAAAUUAAUUAUUGCCUUUCGAACAAUUGGAUUGAUUUUAAUAUUUUUUUAAAGUUGUGUUUCUUUUAUUUUAAACCUUUGAAAUUUUGGUUGAAGCAUUAAUUGUUGCAUUGUAUACAUAUAUAUUUUUAAAAUUACAAUUUGUACAUAUAAUCUGUUGCUCAUUUAUUUAUUAAAACAUUAAUUGAAAAUUAAUUAUUGUCUUUCCAACAAUUGGGUUGAUUUUAAUAUUUUUUUAACAAAAAUGCAUGCAGACCCUCUCAAUAAUGGACCGUUUCAUUUCUUAAAGCAAGCAUUAAUUGUAACUGUAAUUAUUAUUACAGUUCGUAUUUAGUGUCCAAAAUAACAGUUUAAAUAUAACUAAAAAUAAUAGUUAAUUAAAAGAAUUUAAAGCUGACCUGUUGCAUCAAGAAAAAUAAAUUGAGAGGUUUAUUUCAACAAUGACCUAUAUUUGAGGGGAUCCCUGUACAUUUUUCUAUUAUUAUUAUUUUCCAUCAAUUGGCCACAUGAGCCACUGUUUACAGCCAAAAAAAUUAAAAAAAAAACAUCAAUCUAUACAUACUACAGUGGGUAGUUUUCAUUCUAUAAAAUUUGCCCAAACUACAAAAUUAUUUUAGUUUUUUUUUUCCAAAGUUUAUUCUAUUUAUAAAUCUCUAUAUAAAGUCAUAUAAACUAAUCUGAACAAUGGGCUAUUUGGAAUCGGCUAAUUAACUUUUCAAAUUUUUGAUUUUACUUUUCAAUCUUUUGAAUUUGUUUAUUUAGUUCAGCGAACCAGCAUUAUUUUGACUUCAGAAUUUAAACUAAUUAUUUACUAGAAUGAAUUUAAAGGUAAAGUUGAAGUGUUGUUGACCACCUCUAAUCAUAUAAAUGAAAAGAUUCAGCAGUAAAAUUAAAAUUUUAUAAAAUUGGAUAACCAACUCCAAAUAGUUCAUAACUCAUAUCUCCAUAUUUAGCAUCCCUCGACCCCAUAAAAACAAACCUCCCUAUUUUAAGAAUCACUAAUUUAGCAAUAUAUACUUUCGGAAUCUAAACAUAGAAGCUCAAUUUUGAAUAGUACAGAUCUAUCUAUGUUCUACCAUAAACAGCAAAAUAAUAGCUAAAUAUGCUCUGGCAGUGUUCUCGUCAACCCAGAUUAUUCUGAAACAAAUGAAAAGAAUAUUAAUGCUGGAAUAUGCAAUCCAAUGAACAAGCCCAAAACGUGCGAAAAAAGAGAACUUAUCAGAUGCGAAAGAAGCAUCAGACAAUAUUUUCUUCCCAGAAGAUGAGAUGUUUGUUGCAGAAGAUUGCGAAAAACUAGAUCAGAGACCGAAUACCCAGAAAUGAAACUAUUUUAUAGUUAAACAUAAAAACCAUGUAGAAUAAGCAUGUAAAAAAUUAUCCCCUCUACACAACAUUUAACUUUCUAUGAUAAACAGAAGCAUCUUAUGUUUAACAGUUCAUAACACAGCUAAUAUAUGUUCCAACAACAUCGAAUGAAAAGCCGAACAAAAGGUUGGAAUAAACAGCAGCUAACAUUACACAAACACUAGUUGUACAAUUGAAAUUGGUCUUCCCAUGAUUGAUUUUGUCCCUGAAAAUACAAUUCAGGCUAUGCAAGAAAACCCCAAGAAGUAAAAAAAACAAAAACUUUUACAACCAAAGCCAUAUCGGAACAAGAAAAGAGCAAGAUAAUACACUAAUGGUAUCUGAGUUUAAAUUAGAAGGCUUUUAGGGUCAGUUUGGGAGAUGGUGCGGCGGCAGGUACAACAUGGUGAUGUGUCUUGAUAAAUGUCGAGUGAUUGGAGGGGCUUUUUUAGCUUGUUAACUUCGAAAGCACUUUCGACUCCCUCACUUGUGUUAAAAUUAGGCCAGCUACAAGCUCUGGGCCGAGAAUACAAAACAAUGAUAGUAUCUUACCACCCAAGCCCGGCUUGAGAUAUGAAUCAAUUGAAGUGUUUAAAGGGCCUGAUGGUGCGGCAAAACUAUCUUUCGAUGAAAUGUAUUUACACCUGGGGGCAAAAAAGAUAAUACUCCAUAAAAAUUCACCAAUGAAAAUGAUUGUAUAUCAAACAAUAUAACUUAAUGAGUAUGCUUAAUAAAAAGAGGGAACUUGAAAUAACUGUGGUUUAGCGUAUUUGGGCUUCGCUACCAAAUGGACUCAUCUGUUCCACUUUACGACCCAGUGGUUACAAUUUCGUAAGGCCGUAAAGACCUCAUAUUAACAGUAGACUACAAAUGACACAAGGUAUCACAAACCAACACAAAAAUACAUAAAAACACAAAACAGAGCAAUCACUCCCAUGUACGAUUUCUGACAUACCGUUAAUGGGAGGAAUUAUAGCACAAUGAAAUAGUAAUUAUUAGAAGGUUAAAUGCGACAAAUGACUCCCCAUGGUAUACUUGUGAAGAAACAGAUUACUAUCAGAGUACGGUAAUUUGCAUAUAUUUAUCAGAUAUAUUGCGCUAUUCCUAGUUGAAAGUCCGGCAAAGAUCACCAAAUUUUAAUUUGUUUAAUUCAGGAACACGACUCAAUUUCUAUUUAAUCAAGUUGCUCCAUCAGGCUCUGUUUAGUUCUCAUAAUGGUGGCUAAUUUUCGCAGUUGCAUCAUAUCUGAAAGCUAACAUGGCAGCUGAAUAAGUCGCUAUGCCACUGGAAUACUUGUAUGAAUCAACUGCCACAUUAUAGCAACAUCAUCUCUGACAGAUAACAUAGCAAGUGAAUCAACUACCACAUCACGUUUCUGAUAGGAACACUUCACAGCUAUUUGGCGUGGGGACCUGGCUAAAAAGUUUAAAGGUCGUUACGUUUGCAAUAUGUUUGAUGAUUACUGGUGUAAUCAUAACUCACCCUUAUAUUUAUUUAGCAUUUGACUCUUCAGCCUUUUUCUCAGUAAGUGCUAGUUCACCUUUCCCUCUGAAUGUAUAGGGCAUACACAGAAAGUAUCUAGUGUGAUUGUUGCAUGUGUCUUUCAAAGCUGGUUAUGUAAUAGCAAUGCAAUAACGAUCAACAAGUGACAAAAGGUAUAAAUUAGAAAAGGCAGUAGAAGUUGCACCUAAUUAAUUUAGCCAAGCUUCAGUGCCUCCCUAAGGCCAAAGCUGUAGUUACUUUGCAGACCUUUCUUGCCUAAAACUGCAUUUCCUUUCUGCAUCAUUGCCGCAAACUCAUUGUAGUCUAUUCUCCCAUCCUGAAAAAUGUAGGAAUAUAAAAAGAUGUUAAUUAUACCGAUAUCGUAAACUAUAAUGACCUGUUUAGAUAUCAGAUAAAGUUACACAGUGAAAACUUUAGUCCAUUGCAAGGUCCUAAAUAUCAUAAUUUUCAUGUUUUUCUCUUUUUUCACAACAGUAUAUACUACAUGCAAGUUGAAUUAAAAUAGCCUUCGAAACUGGGUAACAUGUUCCUUCUUACACACUUUUAGACAUUUUUUUUCAUGCUUCUAAACAACCAACUAACUAUAUAGUAGUGAAUAAAAAGGAGAGGAUAUACUGGAUAAGUCAUUCUGGCACCCAAAGAGACCCUUGAGGCCUGUUUGGAUGGCGGCACCAAUCAUUGGGUGAAAGUUGUGCUGUGGCAAGAUUUCUGUGAUUGCAGUCUAGAAGUUCGAUUUGAUAGUGAAUUUUCGGGAUAACCUAUCUGACCUACAAGGUUAUGAGAAAAAUAAUCUAAAGACCGGAUAUUAUGCGGGUUUAGACAUCUUUCAUACUCCCCAUCAACCAGUUACCACAGAUCCUGCGAGUUUACAAGAGAGAUAUGCUUUACACGAGGUUCAAGUAUCUGAACAGAGCCUUAAAACUUGUUGCAAGGUAAAAAGGACUUGCAUUAUCUUGAUCUAUUUCUCGGAUUAUCUCUUCAAGCCGAACAUCCUCUAUACCGAACUCCUCACAGGCUUUCUGAAGUUCGUCUUGAGUGAUAUACCCACUACCGUCUUUAUCAAAAUAUGAGAAAGCUGCAAAGAGAUUAUCCUCCCUUUCAACUUUGUUUAGGUGGAGAGUUGCAGCAAUGAACUCUCCAUAGUCAAUGGUCCCACUAUUGUCGAUAUCUGCCUGAAAUAUUAAAAAAAAAAAAACCAAGAGGGUCAACAUGGAUUAACAAAAAAGAAAAAAAUUCAAGGUGAAGUUUGACCCAGAUUCGUAAUUCCAGCCCUACAGUUUCAACUAUAAAAUUUAGUCCUAAAGUUUUGAUUUCACUUCAGUUUAGUCCUCCAACUUUCCUGGUCAAUUUAGUACCAAAAGAUUUACCCCAAUUUCAAUUUCGUCCAUAGAAUUUCAACUUUCAAUUUUGACGAAGCACAGUCUACAUAGUGCGCAGAUGUGGACCCCUUCUACCAGCCGUAAAUUAAAGACAUUUAUGCUGAACAACCUUCAACGACUAAAUUGUUACAAUUGAAAUUAUGAGGGCAAAGUUGAAAUGAAAGCCAAACUUCAUGGACUAAAUUUGUAACUAGCCAUAAAUUCAAUUAUAUUUAAUUAAUUAUCUAAUAUUAUAAUAUAUUUAAUAUUAUAAUAUUUGUAUUACCAUAUUUUUGUGUAUAACCUUAAUUAUUCACGAUAUAAUUAAUUUUAUAUAAACUAAAUGAAUCCCUCAAAGAUAGUAGGAAAAGCUACUCCAGAAACAAACAACGACACAAAUAAUCCCACAAGUACUUACCGCUUCCAUAAGAGCUGCAAUUUCAGAUUCCUUGAGAUUUGCGCCAACUUUCUCCAACCCAACCUUGAGUUCCUCGAAUGUGAUCUGACCACUAUUAUCUGCGUCGAUCAUCUUGAACAUCUCUUUCAAGCCUGCGAUUUCCUCUUCUGACAUGCUCUCAGCAAUGACCUGCGAAUAUGACACAUUUUCAUUAUAAAGUCAAGUUUGUCAAAGAUAAUAAAGGACUUAAUUAGAGUACGGAAGAAAAAAUAAUACAACAAAUAUUAUUCUUUGUGAGAAGAAACAAUCAAAUAUGCAAACUUAGAUUCUUUAUGAUUCUAACUAUCAGAAAAGGCAGUAAAUCUUUUUCUUUUUCUUUCUUCUAAAGCACCAAAAAUUGUAAAACCAGGAAGUAUCCAUAAACAGAGCCAAAGGAUACUAAAAGAGUACAUUCUAAUUAUUUAGCUUCAUCAGGGCCUCCUGUGGUAUAAGGCUCUAACCAAUUGUAGGAGAACUCAAGAAAACUACGAAAGGAAAACAAAAUCUCCUCAUAUUUCAAGUUGAUUAACAGUCCCAUCAAGAUCGAACAGACAAGUGGUCAAAGCAGAACCAGUUUAAUACGUAAAAAAGGUCUUAAAUCAUCAGUUCUACGAGGUAUUCACUUCAGCACAAUGAUUUUAGGUCGACUCGAUUCAUCUUUGACACCAAUAAAAUGGUUUAUACUAGGGCAAAUCCUACAGAGAAAACACAAUUUGCUAUGCAUACUCUCCAAUAUUACUACAAUCCUGCACAGGUUACCAUUCUAGACCUAGAUCUAUUCAUCCUCCGACUAAAACCUUAGGAAACCAUCAAACAGAUUAAAAAUAUCUAUACUGCUCAAAACAAAACCGCCUAAUAACUGUAAUUUCUGCAAAUUUUAUGACGAGGAUGCCUUCCAAGGAAAUUCUCUACGAGGGAUAAUGGUAGCAAUCAGAGAAAUGUAUAACGUGGCCAAAGUGCAACUGAGAAAUUUGCCCAACAGGAAAUCAUCUGGGUAAAACUACUAGAUCAAAUAAUAGCAGCAGAAAAAGAGACAAGAUUUUUUCUUUUUUAAUUAAUGAGAACAGAUACUCACCCUAAGGGCCAUUUUCUUGAGCUUGUUCAUUGCAGAGAAUUGCUUUAAUCGGGUUAGGACAGCAGAAUCAAGAGGCUUGUCAGGAGCAACACCAUCCACCCGCACCCAAGGGUGACCUAGAAGAAUUCAAACGGAAAAAUUAUUAGAAGAAACUGUGACAAAAAUAAAAUUUCCAGCAGAUGAUCAGUAUGUGCUGGGCUAUGAGUUUGCGCAUAUUAGUACAGCCACAUAAACCGUUGAAUAUUAUUAUAUUAAGAAGUUAAGAAAUGAGUAUAAAUCUUUUUGACAAGUAUAUAAUAAUGCUUAUUUUAAAACAACAAUCUAUUGGCAGACCCUUUUUUUUUCACUGCUGUCUACCUAUUUUGCAAGCACUACUUAUCCAGGGCAAUUUUCUAUGAGAAGGUAACCGAUUAUUUAAAAUUAAAUGACCAGUAAAUUUCAGACAAAAGUGCAACUCACAUAGAGCUUCAUGAGCUGUUAACCGCUUUCUGGGAUCUCUCACUAACAUCUUCCUAACCAAAUCUUUUGCACUCUCUGAGAUGCUGGGCCAUGGCUCCGAAGAAAAGUCAAGUUCACCUUUUAAGACUUGCUCAAAUAUUCCCUGCUCUGUUUCUGAAUGAUAAAAACAACAACAAAAAAAAAAGAGUAAACAUCUGGAUUAUGCAGUAAUUUCUUUCAAAAAACAAUGGAUGAUUUAUGAGAAGCAACAAGAAUUAAUGUACUGACCAUCCCAAAAUGGAGGGACCCCACUUAAUAAGAUAUAAAUGAUCACACCGGCACUCCAAACAUCUGCCUCAGGACCAUAAUGUUUUAGAAGAACUUCGGGUGCAACAUAGUAUGGGCUUCCCACAACAUCCGUAAAUAUAUCACCUGAAAAAUGGAUGAUGAUCCAUCACAAUUGGAUAUGGCAUACCAUUUUAGACAACUAUAUCGUCUGAAUUAUCUGCACGCAACAAGUACAGGGAAGUAGCUCCUCUGCCAUACAUUGGUGUAAAAGGAUCCACAAUAAUAUUGUAUAGUUGGAAAUUUUGUCACUUCUUGUUAUUUUCCGUAUCAGAAUAUAAGUUCGUCGGGCACAACAACUUCAGCAUCACCACCCGCUCAGUAGUCAUUGCAAUCUCAUUAAUGACAGUCGCUACAACACAAGAAUUCGAGUCCUGCCCUAUCUAUAGAUUACAAGAAUUCCUUAAUAUUGCAGACAAAUUAAUGUAAACUCUAGGUGUCAAGGCAACUUUGAACGAGAUGGAGCUUGCAAUGUAACCCAAAUAGCUAGUUGGCAGGUUGAGACUUGUGGGCAAAACUAAUCUAUAAAUGACACAUUUUUUUAAUUCAUCUAUAAGGAAAUAGCCAUAUGAAAGUUUGCUUAACUUGAGAAUAACAAAAUGGCAGGAGACUGCGAAGGUUUAGUUGUGGCCUCAUCCACAGGGAGCAAACUAAAAUGCAAGAGUUCUAUGAAACUGAUCCACCAACGGCAACCAAGGCUAUCUUAUAUUCAGUACGCUGCUAAUAUAAAAAGUGAAAAGGAGAAACAAAUGUAGCAGCCUGUGCUCCAGGGUAUUCAGUGUCGAAGUUUUAGCUUCAGGACCAGUGCCAUUUAUAUAAUUAACAAAAGUUAAUCCUUCUAUUAUGACAAAUUCAAGGCACUUGUUUGCUUCCUAUGUACCAAUACCUCAUAUUCUCAGGCAAAGCAAGAGUGUUCACGCUCUUACCGACAUCUUCACAUUUAAGAUAUGGGAACAUCAUAGUUCUUUUCUGAUAAUUGUCAGUAAAAUCACCUGAAUCUUUCUUUCUCCCUAGCAGUAUUAGUAAAUCAGUCUUACUUGAAUUUCAUCUACUUAACCAUGUCUGAUGCAAAUAUAUACACAAUUCUCCAACUACUUAUGUCUCCCGUCCAAUUAUAGUGGAAAUUUUGCAACAUCUCCAUAUUACUUAAGUAUAUUUUUAGUGCUCAAAACAUCUUUCUUGAGAAGAAUGAUGUCCAUGUAACCAAAAACCAUACCCAAUAGCGUGGAAAAUAUGGAAAAAAAUUUCAAUAGAAUGCCAUAACUAAUCAAACUUCAUAAAUAAUGAAAAGAUCUACCUGGCUUGAAGAAUAUAGAGAGCCCAAAAUCAAUCGUCUUUAGAGACGAAUCCUCCUUCUGAUUAACAAAGAGAAAGUUUUCGGGUUUUAGAUCGCGAUGCAUGACCCCCAACGAGUGGCACGCCUCCACGACACCCACUAUCACCCUCGCGAGUUCCGCUGCAGCCUUCUCCGAGUAGUGCCCUCUCUGUAUGAUUCUGUCGAAGAGCUCCCCACCGGCGCAGAGCUCCAUGACGAGGUGCACCGCGACGGCAUCCUCGUAGGCACCGACAAUGGAGAUGACAUUGGGGUGCCCUGCAAGGUGGUGCAUAAUCUGGAUCUCGCGCCGGACAUCCUCGACAUCCUCCUCGGUGAUGAGCUUCCGCUUAGCAAUUGACUUGCAGGCAAACUCUUUACCUGUGGCCUUCUCAACACAGAGGUAGGUCGUGCCGAACUGGCCCUGGCCGAGCUUGCGGCCGAGGCUGUAGAGAUCCUUCAACUUCUCCGUCUUCCGCUGCAGCACAGAGCCCACCUGUGUUCGAACAUAAAAAUAUCCAAACAUCAUUUUUUACCAACUAAAGCAUUUUCCUAGCAUGCUAAACUUGUUUUACAUGGCAUGACAGCAGGAGCUCCGAAGUUUAAAUCCCAAAAAACUCCCGGUAUCAUUCGAUUUCCUCCCAUUUCAAUUCAAAGUCUACAUCUUGGACCUAUCAAAAGCUACAAGCCCAAACAUUGCUCUCUAAGCAGCUAUUAAAGCAAUCAGUUGCCCCGUAUUCGACUCCUCCCAUCAAACUCUCCAAGUCUCAUUUGAUUUCUCCUCUCAUUUUAAUUCAAGUCCGCAUCUUGACCAAUCAGACCAUUAAAAAAAAAAAAAGAAUCGAAAAACAUCGUUAUGUAGCAGCUUAAAAGCCAACCUGGAGCCCGGCGCUCGACACGCGCCUGAAGUGCGCGGUCGCGGGCUUCUUCGGAGGGGGAGCCUCUUCCGCCGGCGGCGCCGCCGCGGCGGAAACGGGAAGGUUGGGGGUCGGAGCAGGGGCGGUUUGGUUGUGGCGGGCGUGGUGGUUGGAGUCGGGGAUGGUGACGGGCUCGGGGGGCUUAUCGGGGGCGGGAUCGGGGGGGCGGGAGGAGCGCCAGAGGACGGCGAGGGAGACGGAUUGGAAGAAUCCGUGGCGCCCUACGCUCGGGCCGACGCAGCUGUUCCCCAUCGUCGUCGAAGGAGGCCGCGAUCGAUCGGCGCUACAACUGCGCAACGUCGCUAGGAAGGGCCGCCCAUUUCGAGAUGAGAAGAGACACGAGUAGAGGUAGGGGAGAGGAAGAGGGUGAUCGCCGGAACCCUAGUAUCGUUUCCGGGGUCGCCGGAACCCUAGGAUCGUUUCCGGGGUCGCCGGAACCCUAGGAUCGUCGGCCGAUCCGGCGCAAGGUGCCCUUCUUAGGAUCACGGUGAUCCAGCGAUGGAUGAGAACGAGGAGGAGGAGAGUGGCGGAGGCGAAGCUCUGAUGAGAUACGAACCGUACAAAUGGAGAGAGAGAGAGAGAGAGAGAGAGAGAGAGAGAGAGAGAGAUGGAGGAGGAAACGAGAGGGGAAGGAGACAAGGAUCCGGGUGGGGCGGAAGAGCCGCGUCCAGUUUAAUUUACUGGCGCUUACAAUUUCUUUUUCUUUUCCUUUUAAAUCUAAUAUAAAACCAAUAUAUUAUUAUAUUGUAUUACUUUUUGAAUUUUUUUUAAAAUUUUUUAAAACUCUGCCAGCAACUAUCUAAUUUUUUAAUUUAUUUGAUUUGAUUCGGCCGACGAUAUUUUUAAAUUUUAUAUUUAGGUAAAUUAUUUAUUUCAAAACAUUUAUAGUCACGAUAAUUACACUAAGAAUUAAGAAUACUAACUAAACCUAUAAAAAUAAUUAAUACAUUCGAAACUUACUCACAUCAAAUGAAUUAAAAAAUUAAAUAAUAAAAUUAAAAUUAAAAUGGUUGGGAGACUAACUCGAAAAUGUAUGCAAUUCUAACAUAUUUUGCAUGUUAUUACUUUAAAAUAUAUGUAUAGUUAGUCUAUUUUCGAAAAUAUAGAAAUAAUAGUAGCCCCUCGUAUUUAGUGGUUCUCUAGAAAAAUAAUAUUAAUCCGAACUAGAAAUAAUCAAAAGGUUGAUUUUAAGGAAAAAUUCUAGAAUGCAACGGGUAUAUUAGUGACGUGGCGUAACAAACCAAUCAAAUUAAUGCUUUUAAGAAUAUAUGUCCCAUCAUGAUUGUAAAAAAGUAUUUUUAUUGUACUUUUUUUUGACAAGAAUGAAUGUGAUUGGCUUGUUAUUGAUGACGUGGUGCAAGUGUGACAGUGUAGAAUUCCUCGAUUUUAAGAGUUGGCCUUUUUGCAUAAAAAAUCCACUUAUUUUGGGCUUUUGCAAAACCGGGUCACCUUUUUCGUUUUUGCAGAUUCGGUCCGCUUUUUCAGCAAACUGACCAAAAUACCCUUAUUACUUUUUCUCUUUCCUCUUUCUCUCUCCUCUUCGUUUCUAUCGUUUUUUUUUUUUCGCCGAAAAAAAAAGAGGCGGACCGUCGCCUUCUUCUUCACCGUCGCCUCCCUUCUCACCCUCCUCUCUCACCGGCCCGGCGACCCCCUCCUCCUCUCCUCCGCCUGCGGACCCCCAGCCCGAUUCCGUCGCCGCGGGCCGGGCAGCGGCCACGGCGAACGGUCGGGCUGGGAUGCGGGGAGAAGAAGACCACGGCGAAGGAAGAAGGAAGGGGUGACAAGCGCAGGGCGCAGGAGGGGGAGGCCGGAAGCGCAACCGGCGCCGGCACCAGCGCCGCGCGUGUUCUUCUCCGUCGCGCUGCCCCUCCUCCCGUCCGCUCCGCGCAGAAGCCCGCCGACCAGGCGCCUGCUGCUUUCUCCCACGACGACGCGAGCGCCGCGGUCCGGCCCCGGACCCGACCCGAUCCCGUCGGCCGCAGCGGCAGGCCGCCCGGAACGGGGUCGGACUGUUUUAUUUAAACUGCCACAUCUUUAACAGAGCUAAUGUAUUACUGGCUUCCUCCUCGUUGUUGGCCACUGUUUUCUCCUCUUUGUUGCACUGUUUUCCCUCAGUGCAACAAGGAGGGAGAACAGUGCAACCAAAGGAGGGAGGAAGCAGUAUAAAUAUCUCUUAAAGGUUGCAGUUUAAGAUAAAUGUGCCAGUUUUUUUUUUGUUGCCCCACCAUUUUUUCUUCUUUUACACUGUUUUUAUUUUAAAUGCCACUGCAUUUAAGAGAUAUUUAUAGCUGCUUCUUCCUCUUGCUUGCACGGUUGCUCCUCCUUUGUUGCAACUGUUUCUCCCUUUAAGAGGAAGAAAACAGUUUGCAACAAAGGAGGAGAAACAGUGCAACUUUCAUUUAAAGAGUGUAUAUUUUUUAUUCUUAGUGGGGUGCAGUGUUAUAUUCUGAAAGAAUGCGUAAGGAAAGAGAAAUACAGUGUAAAAUAUCUUUCAAAGAGUUGUUAAGUUUUCAUUUUAAAAGUGUAAUUUUUAUUUUAAAAGCGUGCCCAGUUACAUUCUUAGAGGUAGUGCAACUUGUAAUUCUUUUUGCUAGUUACGAUACAAUUUUAUUCUUCAUCGCUUUUUUUUGUCUAUAUUAAUUUUUUAUCUUUAUUUUUUUCUGUUUUUUUUUUGCACCCUCUCUGCGUCAAUAGGCCACGGUGUCGGUGACGCCGCCGCUAAAGACCUCGAGGCUGCCAGGGCCGCCAGUGAUUCUCCACCGGGUGUCGGCGUCGGGUCGGGCGAAGCACUGCAUCGGUCGGUCGGGAGGCAGCAGAAAAGGAGGGAGAAGAGAGAGGAGAAGGCAGAAAAGAGCGGAGAGAAGGGGUCGUCGGUCGAAACCUGGGGUUUGGAGGAGGAGUCAGAGAAGAAAAGAAAGAAAAAUCGCAAAAAAAAAAAAAAAGUCACAGCCCGGCCUUAGGGGGAUCGGAGGCGAGGAAGGUGGGGGCGCCGGCGGCGACGCCGCUCUGUCUUCGCCGCUCUCUGGGAAGAGAGAAAAAAAGAAGGAGAGAAAAAAGAGAAAAGAAAAAGGUAUAAGGGCACCUCCGCUCCGUCUUCGCCGCUCUCUGGGAAGAAAAAGAAAAAAGAACGAGAGAAAAAAAGAGAAGAGAGAAAGAGGAAAGAGAAAAAGGUAUAAGGGUAUUUUGGUCAGUUUGCUGAAAAAGCGGACCGAAUCUGCAAAAGCCAAAAAGAUGGCCCGAUUUUGCAAAAGUCCAAAAUAAGUGGAUUUUUUAUGCAAAUUGGCCUUAAGAGUUUACUGGAUUGUCAUAAUUAAUAAAGUUUGAGUCAAAAUAGUAUGAAAAUUUAAAAUUUACAAAUCAAAAUAUCAUGCAACUUAGCAGUUUGAGAAUAAAAAAUAUAAUAAUUUAUACUAAUCCGAGCACAAUCUGAACGAAUCCAAAGUGUAUGUUUGGAUUGGAUACAAGAGGGAAGUAAGGGGGUUAUCCCUCUCUUGUACCCAAACACUACUUGGGUGGGUGGGAACAAAUUGUUCCCGUAAUCCCUUGGUGGGAACUUGUCCCCACCCCACUGGGUAGAGAGAGAGAGAGAGUUAUUUAAAAAAAUUACAAUUUAAAUUUUUAGAAUUUAAAAUUUAUAAUCUCAAAAUUAUAAAAUUUUAAAUAAAAGUUUAAAUUUAAAUUUUGAUUUUUUUAAUUUUUAAUUUUUAAAUUUGAUAUUUUAUAUUUUUUAAAUUUAAAUUUGAUCUUAAAUUUAAAAUUUGAUAUUUAAAAUUAAAAUUUUUAAAAUUAAAUUUUAAUUUCAAAUUUUAAAUUUAAAAUUCAAAUAUAAUGAGAAGGUAAUAUCAUUAUUUUUUAUUUAUAACCAUCAACUAUUUCUCUUAUUCCCAAUAACCAUUCAAACACAAUUUUUCUAAUUUCAGUUUAUACUUACAUUUUUAUCCAAAAAAAAAAAUAUUCUUGUUCUUAUAAAAACUCAUAUUUAUACCUAUUCUCGAUAUAACUAGUUCCUACUAAUUUUUGAACCAAAUGGAGCCAAAAAGUCGAACCGAACC